Molecule: ribosomal RNA, 425 nt
Filed under: uncultured archaeon
Lineage: Archaea
Description: bacterial SSU rRNA
Rfam family: Archaeal small subunit ribosomal RNA
Source: RNAcentral
AUAAGUGGUGGGCAAGACUGGUGCCAGCCGCCGCGGUAACACCAGCGCCACGAGUGGCUAUCACGAUUAUUGGGCCUAAAGCGUCCGUAGUCGGUCUUGUGCAUCUUCUGUGAAAUCGUUGCGCUUAACGUAACGGCACGCGGAAGACACGGCAAGGCUUGAGAGCGGGAGGCGUGAAGAGUACUCCGGGGGGACCGGUAAAAUGGUAUAAUCCCCGGAAGACUACCUGUGGCGAAGGCGCUUCACGAGAACGCAUCUGACGAUGAGGGACGAAAGCCAGGGGAGCAAACCGGAUUAGAUACCCGAGUAGUCCUGGCCGUAAACGCUGUCAGCUAGGUGUUGCGUGUUCCUUGUGAACUCGCAGUAUCGGAGCGAAGGUAUUAAGCUGACCGCCUGGGAAGUACGGUCGCAAGACUGAAACUUUA